Molecule: long non-coding RNA, 298 nt
Organism: Eleginops maclovinus (Patagonian blennie)
Lineage: Eukaryota; Metazoa; Chordata; Actinopteri; Perciformes; Eleginopidae
Exons: 4
Source: RefSeq, a predicted model, not a curated record
GGAGAGCCCUGCACGCGGUCUGACAGGCUUCUGCUGAGGAAGACGCAUAUAGAUAUGAUUAUGAUGAAGAUGAUGAUGAUGGUGGUGAUGGUGGUGGUGGGGGAAAAAAGUGAUGGUGGGGAUGGUUUCUGCUGCUCCUUUUCCUCCUUCACUCCUCAGACCUGAUGUGAACAGCACAAAGGAGACAACCCAACCCAGAUGUGAUGGGAACAGCACGGAGAGGUUGUGCCUGCAGAACCAAACUGAGGGAAUAAACUCAACACAGUCAAGCAGAAUCAGGAUGAUCUUCAGGGUGGAC